GAGUGGGGAAUAACUUCGGGAAACCGAGGCUAAUACCGCAUAAUACCCACGGGUCAAAGGAGCAAUUCGCUUGAGGAGGAGGUCGCGGCCCGAUUAGUUAGUUGGCGGGGUAAUGGCCCCACCAAGACGGUGAUCGGUAUCCGGCCUGAGAGGGCGCACGGACACACUGGAACUGAAACACGGUCCAGACUCCUACGGGAGGCAGCAGUGGGGAAUUUUGCGCAAUGGGGGAAACCCUGACGCAGCAACGCCGCGUGGAGGAUGAAGUCUCUUGGGACGUAAACUCCUUUCGAUCGGGACGAUUAUGACGGUACCGGAAGAAGAAGCCCCGGCUAACUUCGUG
RNAcentral lists this ribosomal RNA (343 nucleotides) under uncultured bacterium. RNAcentral describes it as "bacterial SSU rRNA". It matches the Rfam family "Bacterial small subunit ribosomal RNA", at positions 134 to 507 of the family's 1533-position model. The record is from RNAcentral.